RNAcentral lists this ribosomal RNA (503 nucleotides) under Phoma herbarum. Its description in RNAcentral is "eukaryotic LSU rRNA". The stretch from base 130 to 283 matches the Rfam family "5.8S ribosomal RNA". The record is from RNAcentral. Lineage: Eukaryota; Fungi; Ascomycota; Dothideomycetes; Pleosporales; Didymellaceae.
GGCUUUGCCUGCUAUCUCUUACCCAUGUCUUUUGAGUACCUUACGUUUCCUCGGUGGGUUCGCCCACCGAUUGGACAAAUUUAAACCCUUUGCAGUUGAAAUCAGCGUCUGAAAAAACUUAAUAGUUACAACUUUCAACAACGGAUCUCUUGGUUCUGGCAUCGAUGAAGAACGCAGCGAAAUGCGAUAAGUAGUGUGAAUUGCAGAAUUCAGUGAAUCAUCGAAUCUUUGAACGCACAUUGCGCCCCUUGGUAUUCCAUGGGGCAUGCCUGUUCGAGCGUCAUUUGUACCUUCAAGCUCUGCUUGGUGUUGGGUGUUUGUCUCCUGUAGACUCGCCUUAAAACAAUUGGCAGCCGGCGUAUUGAUUUCGGAGCGCAGUACAUCUCGCGCUUUGCACUCAUAACGACGACAUCCAAAAGUACAUUUUUACACUCUUGACCUCGGAUCAGGUAGGGAUACCCGCUGAACUUAAGCAUAUCAAUAAGGCGGAGGAAGAACUUUAC